UAAGGAAUAUUGGUCAAUGGACGCAAGUCUGAACCAGCCAUGCCGCGUGGAGGAUGAAGGUCCUCUGGAUUGUAAACUUCUUUUAUCUGGGACGAAAAAAGGGUUUUCUAACUCGUCUGACGGUACCAGAUGAAUAAGCACCGGCUAACUCCGUGCCAGCAGCCGCGGUAAUACGGAGGGUGCAAGCGUUAUCCGGAUUCACUGGGUUUAAAGGGUGCGUAGGCGGGCAAUUAAGUCCGUGGUGAAAUACCUGAGCUUAACUUGGGAACUGCCAUGGAUACUAUUUGUCUUGAAUGUCGUGGAGGUUAGCGGAAUAUGUCAUGUAGCGGUGAAAUGCUUAGAUAUGACAUAGAACACCUAUUGCGAAGGCAGCUAACUACGCGAAUAUUGACGCUGAGGCACGAAAGCGUGGGGAUCAAACAGGAUUAGAUACCCUGGUAGUCCACGCCCUAAACGAUGAUUACUCGACAUUGGCGAUACACAGUCAGUGUCUGAGCGAAAGCAUUAAGUAAUCCACCUGGGAAGUACGACCGCAAGGUUG
Molecule: ribosomal RNA, 541 nt
Filed under: uncultured bacterium
Lineage: Bacteria
Description: bacterial SSU rRNA
Rfam family: Bacterial small subunit ribosomal RNA
Source: RNAcentral